This 1466-nucleotide ribosomal RNA is filed under the name uncultured Bordetella sp. RNAcentral's name for it is "partial 16S-23S ribosomal RNA intergenic spacer". It matches the Rfam family "Bacterial small subunit ribosomal RNA". Lineage: Bacteria; Pseudomonadati; Pseudomonadota; Betaproteobacteria; Burkholderiales; Alcaligenaceae. The record is from RNAcentral.
CGAUUCUGGCUCAGAUUGAACGCUGGCAGGAUGCUUUACACAUUCGUCAGACGGCAGCACGGACUUCGGUCUGGUGGCGAUGGCGAACGGGUGGGCUGUGUAUCGGAACGUGCCCAAUAAGCGGGGAUAACUACGCGGCGUAGCUUCUUCCGCAUACAUACGCUCAGAAGCGGGACCUUCCCGGGCCUCGCACUAUUAAACGGCCGAUAUCGGAUUAGCUAGUUGGUGGAGUAACGGCUUCACCAAGGCGACGAUCCGUAGCUGGUUUGAAGGACGACCGGCACACUGGGACUGAGACACGGCCCAGACUCCUACGAGAGGCAGCAGUGGGGAAUUUUGGACAAUGGGGAAACCCUGAUCCAGCCAUCCCGCGUGUGCGAUAGAGGCCUUCGGGUUGUAAAGCACUUUUGGCGGGAAAGAAACGGCACGGGAUAAUACCCCGUGCAACUGACGGUACCUGCAGAAUGGCACCUGGCCCAACUGCAUGCCGGCAAGCCGCGGUGGCCGUAAGGGUGCAAGCAUUAAUCGGAAUUACUGGGCCGUAAAGCGUGCGCAGGCGGUUCCGGAAAAGAAAGAUGUGAAAUCCCAGAGCUUGACUUUGGAACUGCAUUUUUAACUACCGAGCUAGAGUGUGUCGGGGGAGGUGGGGUGCAUCAUAACGAUGUGAAAUGCGUGAAUGUCAGGAGGAACACCAUAUUAGCUGCGAAGGCAGCCUCCUGAGAUAACAUGACGCUCAUGCGAAAGCGUGGGGAGCAAACAGGAUUAGAUACCCUGGUAGUCCGCCCUAAACGAUGUCAACUGGCUGUUGGGGCCUUCGGGCCUUGGUAAGCCGGCUAACGCGUGAAGUUGACCGCCUGGGGAGUACGGUCGCAAGAUUAAAACUCAAAGGAAUUGACGGGGACCCUGAAGCGGUGGUUGAUAUGGAUUCAAAUUCGUUAACGCGAAAACCUUACCUACCCUUGACAUGUCUGGAAUCCCAGAGGGCCCGGGAGUGCUCGCAAGAGAACCGGAACACAGGUGCUGCAUGGCUGUCGUCAGCUCGUGUCGUGAGAUGUUGGGUUAAGUCCCAUAACGAGCGCAACCCCUUGUCAUUAGUUGCUACGAAAGGGCACUCUAAUGGGACUGCGGUGACAAACCGGAGGAAGGUGGGGAUGACGUCAAGUCCUCAUGGCCCUUAUGGGUAGGGCUUCACCGUCAUACAAUGGUCGGACGGAGGUCGCCAACACGCGAGGAGCUGGCGUGUCCCAGAAACCCGAUCGUAGUCCGGAUCAUGAUCUGCAACUCGACUGCGUGAAGUCGGAAUCGCUAGUAAUCGCGGAUCAGCAUGUCGCGGUGAAUACGUUCGGGUCUUGUACGCACCGCCGUCACUGUGAAUUGGGUUUUACCAGAAAUGGAUUAGCCUAACCGUAAGGAGGCGAUUACCACAUUAGGAUUCACGACUGGGGCGAGAAAUCGUAACAAGGUAA